RNAcentral lists this unclassified non-coding RNA (303 nucleotides) under fungal sp. RNAcentral describes it as "partial internal transcribed spacer region". The stretch from base 1 to 46 matches the Rfam family "Eukaryotic small subunit ribosomal RNA", at positions 1786 to 1831 of the family's 1831-position model. Lineage: Eukaryota; Fungi. The record is from RNAcentral.
AAGUCGUAACAAGGUAACCGUAGGUGAACCUGCGGUUGGAUCAUUUACGAUCUGCACCCUGACAAAGGGUCGAUCCACAACUGUGCACCUGUCGACGUACUUGGCGGCUGGAAUCUGCUACACCGAGGGACCCCUUGGGCGCGACCAAGGUGGAGUAGAUCCGCGUCGGAUGCGCAAGUCUUACGACUCGGCUCCGGCGUAUGCCGUCUGUGAAACAAACAUCUUACACUUUUGACUGAACCAUCAAGUCACGCAAGUGAUCAAAAUCCAAAACAACUUUCGACAAUGGAUCUCUUGGCUCUC